RNAcentral lists this ribosomal RNA (497 nucleotides) under uncultured bacterium. RNAcentral's name for it is "partial 16S ribosomal RNA". It matches the Rfam family "Bacterial small subunit ribosomal RNA", at positions 29 to 507 of the family's 1533-position model. The record is from RNAcentral.
AGUGAACGCUGGCGGUAUGCCUAACACAUGCAAGUCGAACGGAAGGACAGUAAGAGCGUGCUCUUACGGGUGGCGAGGGGCGGACGGGUGAGGAAUACAUCGGAAUCUACUUUGUCGGGGGGGAUAACGUAGGGAAGGUUACGAUAAUAGCGCAUACUAUCUACGGGAUGAAUCAAGGGAUCAUGAGACCUUUGGCGACACAAAUAGCUGGUGUCGGGCUGGCUUAGUUAGUUGGUAAGGUAACGGCUAACCAAGGAAACGAUGCAUAGCCGAUCUGAGGGGAUGAUCGGCCACACUGGAACUGAGACACGGUCCAGACUCCUACGGGAGGCAGCAGUGGGGAAUCUUCGACAAUGGGCGCAAGCCUGAUCCAGCCAUGCCGCGUGGGUGAAGAAGGCCUUCGGGUUGUAAAGCCCUUUUAUUGGGAAAGAAAAGCAGCGGAUGUAUCCCUCGCUAUUCUGACGGUACCUAAAGAAUAAGCCCCGGCUAACUUCGUG